AUGUACCAGUGGUGCGAGGAGCACUUUGUGAGGAAGACAAAGGUCAAACUAGGGAGGGUGAUCACCUUGGGGUCUAAGCUCUGUGGAAAGCAGCGCUCAAACCUCCAGAUGCUCCAUGACCAGAAAACGGAACCACUGGGGCUCUUGAAGAGAUAAAGAGACAGCUCCCCCACUCAGCGUCUCAGCACCCACUCUGUUCCCUCUGACCGUUUCGCUGAACUUCUCCCUCCAUCCACCUACCUAACCAGUCUUCCUUCCUUUCUAUCAAUCCUCACCCGUCCUUCCCAUACCCCCUCAUCCCUCGACCCCUUCUCCUCAUCCCUCGAAACUUUCCCCUCCAUCCCUUAACCAUUUUUCCUCCCUCAGUAUUCCACAUUCGUUCAUAAUGUGUAAUAAACUUUUCUUAUUCCA
Dicentrarchus labrax (European seabass) is the source of this 411-nucleotide long non-coding RNA. RefSeq lists it as uncharacterized. The transcript is spliced from 2 exons. NCBI's taxonomy places the organism in Eukaryota, Metazoa, Chordata, Actinopteri, Moronidae. The record is from RefSeq and is a predicted model, not a curated record.